GGCGUGCUCUGGUCCAUGGGGUCACGAAGAGUCGGACACGACUAAACGACUAAACAACAACAACAUAACAGGAGAUUGGCUAGGAAGGCAGUUGGACCCUUUGACAAGGGAGUCAAAUGUGUGCUAAAGGAGGAUAGGGAGAUUGCAGAGAACCCAAAACUGUCUUGAGUCUGGAGCAAUCAGGGGGAAAGAAAAUGGCAGCUGUACUGUCCCCAGAAUAAAAUAUUUUUUAAAACAAAAAAUGGAAGAUUCCCAAUGGUACUCCUAAAGAUUAGUAGUUGCCCCGAAUUUCACCAUCCUCCCAAAAACGAACAAGAAAUCAUGCUUCAAAUUAGAUGCCUGUAAAUGGAGCCACAAAUUUGGAGCAACAUUAGGUCCAUCCCUACUUAGGAUACAUUUUGGAUAAAUUUGUAUGGAGACCAUAUACAUUUUCACUGUCAGCUAAAACAUGUGAUGACAUUAUUGCAGAAACCAGCCAUGGACAGUCAGGUCACAAGCUACAUUCUACAUGUUCAGCAUACACACAAUCCCCCCACCCACACCCACCAUUAAUAAUGGUAUCUUUGUAUAGUCUUUAAAACUGAGUAGGGGCGAAAGUAAUUAUGUUAGCCUUUGGCAAUGAAAAGCCAGGUUUAUUUCAGUAACAACAAUUAAAAAUAUAUAUAUUUAAAUAAGUGGGCAAUACUCAACUGUUUUUCCUCUUUUAAAAGCCAAGGCAGAAAACACUGCGUUAUCUUUCAUUGUGGCUACCCCACAAAUGUCAGAAUGUAUCAAAGUAUUACAUUAAAAUGUAAGACAUUCAUAUCCACAAAGACGUGGACCCAAAUGAUCCUGCUUGUUGCCAGUUACAUAAAGAAUCUAGUCCUGCAAAAGCAGUCACAGAGUUGGGUGCUCUCCUUCCAUUUCUCUGGGUCUCUAGAGUCAGUUGCUCCAUGUACCAUCAAUAUCUGACAACUGUCACUGCUGGAAGCAAUCCCACUGAGAGCGGCUUGUCUUGUGUACUCCCUUCACAUUUGUCUAUCACCCAGUAAGACAAAUCUGAGCUUUUUAGAGACAGUCAUAUCAAAUUGAAAAUCUGUACACUAAAAGGCUUUUUAGACUACUACUACUAGAGAGCUACACGAUGAAAGGGAAAAUUUAGAAGCCUAUACAGCAGCUUCAGUUUCUUCUGUUUGAAGAUGGUGAGUACUACUAAACUAGAUCCCUGCCUUAACCUCCCAUCGCACAAGUGCCCAACAGAAGACUGCAUCUGGAAAAGGUUGGGGAGAGCACCAUCUCUCUUAAUUCAUGCCACCUUUUUACAUCCUGUUAUCAUGGGGCUCUGAGAUGGUGCUCAUCACAGUAUGACACACAGGUGCAAUAGCAUGGUUAGGUAAUUUUAUGCUCUGGACUUAAUUGUUUUACAAGAGGGCUACAUUUGAGGGCCUUCCUGUUCAUUAUGCCCCAAAGUACUGCCCUGCUAGUACUACUUCACAGAUGUAGUUUACAGAACCUUCCUGUAACUUUAAAUAAAUAUAUUGUUUAUUUUCCUAAAUAAAGCCUAUAGUAAAAUUAAGUAUCCUCCAAUACUGCCAUUCGUAUGUGUCUACUAUCCACUAUAUGCAGCACCUUGAAACAAGAUUUUGAUAGUGAAAACAUACUGAUGAGGUCUCUAGCUGGUUAACAGUAUUUAAAUUGGUAUGAGUUAAAUUGUUGUUUCAGAGAAGCAAAAUCACUGGGGUAAAACCUAUAAAAUAGAAUAUUUUACAUUAUCAUAAAAUUUUAUUGGGUACUGCUAUAUGUAGUCCAUGAAUCUUGCAGCAUAAAUGAUGCAUGCUAUUUCUGGGGGUGGGGGAAUUAUAUAUCUAUAGUGAAUUUCUUGUCAAAUUGUGCUGAUUAUGGCAGCUUGCCCAAAGCUAAAUUCAUUGUAAUAAAACUCCUGGACUGGAACAUGGUGCCAUUUACGUUAUUCACCACCUGAAUUGUUUUUGUAGUAUAUAAACCCAAAGCAAACAGCUGUCAGUUUGGAAACCUCUGAAGAGCUCUGUCGCUAGGCACUGCUGGGCUUUCUUGCUUCAAUGCUUUGAAGAACUUGUCAGCUGGUCCCUCGCAACUAGCUGUAGAGGCUGGAUCUUAAGCAGCUGAAAGCACUGGAUUAGAACAGCUUACAUCUUUUGACUUUGUACCGGAUCAUUGGAUUGAAAUCACUUUGAUAGAUGCUUUUGGAGGAUUUUGUGUUUUUCUGAAGUCCACAGAAUUAUAUGCUACGUUUCUUCCCUUUUCGUUUUCAGCUUACUCUAGCAACCAGUGUAGGAGUUGCAUUAGAGAAAGAAAACCUAGAUUUACUGUAUCAGCAGAGUAUUCUCUCCUCUCCCUCCAAAUCAACAAGGCUCAGGACGCAGCUAUUAAGUAUGUCUCACAAAAACAGAAUGCUCCUACAAAUCAAAUUGUUUAAAGUUGGUGUCAUAGGCAUUUUUUUCUAUAGGUGAGAAAAAAGUGAUGACUAUGCUUUGCUUGUAUUAAAAAAGCACAACAUGUGGAGGGCA
Podarcis raffonei (Aeolian wall lizard) is the source of this 2525-nucleotide long non-coding RNA. RefSeq lists it as uncharacterized. NCBI's taxonomy places the organism in Eukaryota, Metazoa, Chordata, Lepidosauria, Squamata, Lacertidae. The transcript has 2 exons. The record is from RefSeq and is a predicted model, not a curated record.